This 870-nucleotide long non-coding RNA is filed under the name Cricetulus griseus (Chinese hamster). RNAcentral's name for it is "lncRNA (ENSCGRG00015036918.1)". Lineage: Eukaryota; Metazoa; Chordata; Mammalia; Rodentia; Cricetidae. The record is from RNAcentral.
CAGGAAUCUCCUUGUUGUACAGGUGACAAGAUCAGGUUAAUCACAUCUGUACUACAAUCCCCUAAUGUCCUAAUUUGUAUGUUAUUGUCUCUAGCAUAUAUCAGGAACUGCUAGUUGGCAUUGUCUGGGAGAAAAAAGACAGUUUUUUUUUUUUUUUUUUUUUUUUUUUUUUUUUAUGCCCAGGAGCAACUGAAUUUCAGAACACAGCCAGAGACUGACUGGUAAGAAUCUGCAAUUUUGACAUUUAGUUUCUCCUUCCCUCUCAGUGAAGGUCUGUGAGCAUUCACAUUUUGCUGGGAGUCUGGAACCAAUAAGGAGUGUGUUCUCAUUUCCGCCAAUGGAAAGCAAAUCCUCAGGAAAGCUUGGGGAUCUCCUUCAGAGCUGCUGAUUCAUUUCUCCCUCACAUCUAAACGUGCACUGCCGCAGAAACCAUGAAAAAGAAAUUGGAUGACAGACAAAAUGAAACUCGUCCUAGGUCAUGUAUACAGUAACAAACAAAAGAGAAAAGCGUCCCGGGAGCCUUCAUUCCAGUAGCUUAUGGAAGCAGAAGCAGACAGCAACAGCUAAACACUGAACUGAACUUUUGGAAUGUCGUUGCCAAGAGGGAAGAGUGAUGAGCAAAGGGGUCAAGACCAGACUGGUGAAACCCAAAGACACAGCUGACCUGAACAAGUCUGUGUGUAUUCAAAUUUUGCUUGGGACCUGCACCAAUGAGGAGUGUGACCUUAUUUCCACCAAUGGAAAGCAAAUCAUCAGGGAAGUUUGGAGAUCUCCUUCAGAGCUCCUGAUUCAUUUCUCCCGUCCUACAUAAUGUGUGCUACUGCAGAUACCACGAAAUGGAAAGCAGGUGACAGCAAAUAAAAUAAUUUU